UGGGGAAUUUUGGACAAUGGGGGAAACCCUGAUCCAGCCAUCCCGCGUGUGCGAUGAAGGCCUUCGGGUUGUAAAGCACUUUUGGCAGGAAAGAAACGUCAUGGGUUAAUACCCCGUGAAACUGACGGUACCUGCAGAAUAAGCACCGGCUAACUACGUGCCAGCAGCCGCGGUAAUACGUAGGGUGCAAGCGUUAAUCGGAAUUACUGGGCGUAAAGCGUGCGCAGGCGGUUCGGAAAGAAAGAUGUGAAAUCCCAGAGCUCAACUUUGGAACUGCAUUUAUAACUACCGGGCUAGAGGGUGUCAGAGGGGGGUGGAAUUCCGCGUGUAGCAGUGAAAUGCGUAGAUAUGCGGAGGAACACCGAUGGCGAAGGCAGCCUCCUGGGAUAACACUGACGCUCAUGCAAGAAAGCGUGAGGAGCAAACAGG
Molecule: ribosomal RNA, 429 nt
Filed under: Acidobacteriota bacterium
Lineage: Bacteria; Pseudomonadati; Acidobacteriota
Description: Acidobacteria bacterium partial 16S ribosomal RNA
Rfam family: Bacterial small subunit ribosomal RNA
Source: RNAcentral